RNAcentral lists this ribosomal RNA (497 nucleotides) under uncultured bacterium. RNAcentral's name for it is "partial 16S ribosomal RNA". It matches the Rfam family "Bacterial small subunit ribosomal RNA", at positions 28 to 507 of the family's 1533-position model. The record is from RNAcentral.
GAUGAACGCUGGCGGCGUGCCUAAUACAUGCAAGUCGAGCGAACAGACGAGGAGCUUGCUCCUCUGACGUUAGCGGCGGACGGGUGAGUAACACGUGGAUAACCUACCUAUAAGACUGGGAUAACUUCGGGAAACCGGAGCUAAUACCGGAUAAUAUAUUGAACCGCAUGGUUCAAUAGUGAAAGACGGUUUUGCUGUCACUUAUAGAUGGAUCCGCGCCGCAUUAGCUAGUUGGUAAGGUAACGGCUUACCAAGGCAACGAUGCGUAGCCGACCUGAGAGGGUGAUCGGCCACACUGGAACUGGGACACGGUCCAGGCUCCUAAGGGAGGCAGCAGUAGGGAAUCUUCCGCAAUGGGCGAAAGCCUGACGGAGCAACGCCGCGUGAGUGAUGAAGGUCUUCGGAUCGUAAAACUCUGUUAUUAGGGAAGAACAAAUGUGUAAGUAACUAUGCACGUCUUGACGGUACCUAAUCAGAAAGCCACGGCUAACUACGUG